RNAcentral lists this ribosomal RNA (301 nucleotides) under uncultured bacterium. Its description in RNAcentral is "partial 16S ribosomal RNA". It matches the Rfam family "Bacterial small subunit ribosomal RNA", at positions 509 to 807 of the family's 1533-position model. The record is from RNAcentral.
CAGUCGCCGCGGUAAUACAGAGGGUGCGAGCGUUAAUCGGAAUUACUGGGCGUAAAGCGCACGUAGGCGGAUACUUAAGUCAGGGGUGAAAUCCCGGGGCUUAACCCCGGAACUGCCUUUGAUACUGGGUAUCUCGAGUCCGGAAGAGGUGAGUGGAAUUCCGAGUGUAGAGGUGAAAUUCGUAGAUAUUCGGAGGAACACCAGUGGCGAAGGCGACUUUCUGGUCUGUAACUGACGCUGAUGUGCGAAAGCGUGGGGAUCAAACAGGAUUAGAUACCCCCGUAGUCCCUGUCUCUUAUAC